This 102-nucleotide ribosomal RNA is filed under the name Micrasema bactro. RNAcentral describes it as "partial 28S large subunit ribosomal RNA". The record is from RNAcentral. Lineage: Eukaryota; Metazoa; Arthropoda; Insecta; Trichoptera; Brachycentridae.
AGAGGGUGCCAGGCCCGUGGUGACGGUAGCCGGCCGCGACGGUCUCUCUCCCAAGAGUCGGGUUGCUUGAGAGUGCAGCCGUAAGUGGGUGGUAAACUCCAU